UUGCAUUACUAAGUGGUACUUUGGGAGAAAAAUAUCUACAUUCGUAUAUAUUUCUCUGCCUCUCCACUCAAAGUCUCUGGGCUUUUAAAUAUGAGAGCCUUUUAUUUCCUUAAAACAGCAGCUGCUUUCAUUUAGUUUGAUGGAUUUAAAGCCUUUAGAGGCGGGAGGAGCGGAUGGGAGGUGGUGGAUUUCUCAGGCUACCUGCUCACACCCUCCAAAGGAUGAAGUGUACCUGGUGCACAGGAUACGGGAGCUGGGCAAAAACGCAUCCUCCCUUCUUUCAUCUGAAGACUUAGGACUUAAUUUGUUAUGAGGGUGCUGGAAUUUAGAACUGGUGACAGCAGAGCAUGGAACUGAGUGCCGGCCCUCUGAGCAUGGGGCACCUGCCCACGAAGCUGGCUGAGGAAGAACAGGUCAGAAAAGGAGCCGUUCUGCUGUGCCCCAGCUCUGUCCACCCUGCUCCUUCCCUGACACUCCAGGACCAAACUGGGACCACCCACCGGGGCUUGGACUUUUCCUUGGAAGUGGCUUUGAAGGACAAUGGCCUCUGCUUUCCUCCACCCUCUCCAGACCCACCCAGCACUUUCACCCUGAGACCAGGGUGGUCCCAGCUCCCACCUUGCUCAGUGCCCAGGCCCCUGAGCGAUCCUGCCAACCUAGUGCUUAUUUACCUCUGCCCCCCAUCCCAACUGAGUGAGAGGCAUCAUGGGGUUCCUCCCUCCCUCCCUGCAGGGCCAUCGAGUCCCUCGGGAAGCCCCCCCAUCCCGGUUGGUAGUAAUGGCACUUCCUGUCCCCUCCCCUAC
Molecule: long non-coding RNA, 803 nt
Filed under: Capra hircus (goat)
Lineage: Eukaryota; Metazoa; Chordata; Mammalia; Artiodactyla; Bovidae
Description: lncRNA (ENSCHIG00010027127.1)
Source: RNAcentral